CUACGGGCUGCACCAGUGGGGAAUAUUGCACAAUGGGCGCAAGCCUGAUGCAGCAACGCCGCGUGAACGAAGAAGGUUUUCGGAUCGUAAAGUUCUUUUCUUGGGGAAGAAACCAUGACGGUACCCAAGGAAUAAGCACCGGCUAACUACGUGCCAGCAGCCGCGGUAAUACGUAGGGUGCAAGCGUUAUCCGGAAUCACUGGGCGUAAAGGGUGCGUAGGCGGUUUUGCAAGUCAGAAGUGAAAGGCAAUGGCUCAACCAUUGUAAGCUUUUGAAACUGUAAGACUUGAAUGCAGGAGAGGUAAGUGGAAUUCCUAGUGUAGCGGUGAAAUGCGUAGAUAUUAGGAGGAACACCAGUGGCGAAGGCGACUUACUGGACUGUUAUUGACGCUGAGGCACGAAAGCGUGGGGAGCGAACAGGAUUAGAUACCCCGGUAGUC
RNAcentral lists this ribosomal RNA (440 nucleotides) under uncultured bacterium. RNAcentral describes it as "partial 16S ribosomal RNA". It matches the Rfam family "Bacterial small subunit ribosomal RNA", at positions 339 to 795 of the family's 1533-position model. The record is from RNAcentral.